This is a non-coding RNA of Pelobates cultripes (western spadefoot toad), 568 nucleotides long. The record is from the annotation of a GenBank genome assembly. NCBI's taxonomy places the organism in Eukaryota, Metazoa, Chordata, Amphibia, Anura, Pelobatidae.
GGGGUUAAUUUUCAUUCCUAGGCUGCUAUAUGGUCUCAAAGGCAACACAGGCCCAGCAAACCAAUCUGGCAAAUUUCAAUGUGCAAACAUGGAAAAGGGGCAAGCCCUACAUUUGACCCCUGUAAGUUUGCAAAAGCCCAUAAAACCUGUACAUUGGGGGCACUGUUGUACUCGGGAGAUGUUGCUGAACACAUAUUGGGGGUUUCUUCGUCAGUAACACAAAACAGGAACUGAGAAUCCAUACCUGAAAUACAAUGUGAGAAAAAAAUAACACAAAGAGCCUUGGUCCUUAACGGUAAGAAAAUUGGAAAACGGUCUGGUCACUAAGGGGUUAAACAAUAGCUGGAUACUAAUUUCUGAAAAAUAGAAUAUUUAAAGAUAUAUUAGUGAAUGUAUAUUAUAAUAGUUUGUUGAUCUGCUAUUGGAGAAACAGCAAUAGUAGAUGUGUGAAUGAUUGUGGCUGACCAUGACUUUCAGCCAAUAUUACAGUCUAACUAUGAAAGCAGAGAAAAUAUUUUGUUUUAUGUUUGCAUUAGCCAGACUUUAUCCAGCUUUCUGCAAAAAGUAC